UACGAAGAGAUAAGGAUAAGUGAGGGUCCUAUCCCACCCAAAUCUUAUCAUAAUCUUUUCUUUUUAAAAGGAAAGAUUCCAAAGAGAUAAGAUGCCAGACAGGGGUUCUAUCUUGUUGGCCAGUCUUUUAAUCUUUUCACUUUGUGUAAUUAUUGUUGGCACGUGUAUUAACCUAUAUGGAUAAAUGAUAUCUUGGUGGGAGAUCAUUUCUCUAUAUAUUAGGGCACGUCCCUCGACCCUUAAUGUUUACCUAAUGAAAAGUUCUAUAAGGCUUAAGCUUAAAAUUUGUUAGGUAAAAAGAUUAAAACCAAUCAAAUCGAAGCGGAGAGGUAUAUGGGUAUUGGAUUCCAUAGCUAUAUGAUAGAACAUGGAAUCACAUCUCAACUCUCAACAUCUGGGACAGUUCAACAAAAUGAUGUAUUAAAGAUGAAAAAUAGAACCUUGCUACACAUAGUUUGAUCUGUGAUGAUCAGUUAUGCUUUCUUCCUAUCUAGCUUGUUCUAGGUUUAUGUAGUAGAGACUUGCAAGUUACCUCUUGAACCACAAGUUUCACAAAGAGUGUUAAUGAAACACCUGUUAAAUAUAGAGAGAUCGUAAAAGUAGUUUAUGGGACAUCAGGAUUUGGGAAUGCCUAACAAAUGUGCUUGUGACAAAUCCAAAGAAAUUGGAACCACGUUCAAAACAAUGAUCGUAGGUUACUCAAAAGAGACGAAAGGUGGUCUAUUCCAUGAUCCACGAGAUUUCUGUAAGAUUUUGUUAUCUAAAUUCUUUUCUUCUAAAAAGGUUUUGAAUUAAGUAGAUUACUUAAGUGAAUCUCUUUUAAUAUUUAUAGUACAGUUCUUUUUAGAUCAUUGUCGAGUUAUAAUCUAUUGUUCGAUAGACAGUUUCUUUGUUACUUGAGAACACUGAGUCUGUUUCAUAUACAAUUUAUUGUAUUUGAUUAUUAGAUUCGUCAUAUUUUUAUUGCUUGAGCAUCUCCCGAACUCGGGAAGUGUCUUUGUUUUCUACAUUUUGUAGCAAUGAUCCUUAUCUUUUGUCUCUUUGCCUUUUGUGCUUUCUUUUUCUCCAUAUUAUUGGGUUUUUUUUUUCUUAUAAGGAUAUUUUUUGUGAUAUCUUUUUUGUUUGUAGGGGAUGUAUGUCCUUUUUGGUUUCCUAUAGUACAGGGGGAUGGUUAUGUAAGUCUACAUAAUUUCUUUCUGAAAUUCUUUUUUUAGAUGAGUGUAGUUCUUCUAAUCUUUGGAAGCAAUAUUGAGAACAAAAGUUUUCCAUUUCUCUUUGUUGGAGAUUAUGGCUUUUAGCACUUUGCUUUGAACUUUUAUUUUGUUACAGAUUUCUAAUCCACAUUCUAUAUUAUUUUAUUUGUCAACUGACCAUAGGUUAGCUUUAACAAAAGAAAUUUCGUAAUUAUAGGUUUUAUUGAGAGAGUUAUAUACUCUUUCUACCAUAAAACUGAGGAAGUCCACCAAUAUAUUGCUCUUUCCAAUGCUGUUGAUUACAAUCAUGAACACUGUAUAUACGAUCAUAAACAUGUCUUCAUACCAUUUGAAAUUUCUCACUUUUGAACAUCUUAAUUUUUUCUAUAUUCUUCUGUUGUUAUUCCUACUUUCUUCAUUAUUAGUGGGAGUGAAAUGAUAUUCUAUAGCAUAUACUAGAUUUUCUAAAAAGCAUCUCCAACUUCUUCGAACUACUACUUCUUUGGAAUCAGUAGAGGCUCCAUUUUCUAUUUUAACUACUUUCUAUCUUUUGACUUUAAUUUUUAUUGGUCUUGAUAUUAUCUCAGCUCUUGUUUCUUUGCUAACGCAGUUGUCUCCCACCAAAGCUUAAUAUCGAACUUGUCAGACCAUUUAGGAUUAGUUUUACUACUUGAGGGUCGGUCAUGAUCAUAUUAUUGGACUCAUAGGCACUUGCACAGCCAUGAGCAUUUCAUUAAGAACUUUAAUGAUCAAUAAUUUGGAUAUCUCAUCUAUAUUCCAUACAUAGAUAGACUUGCCAAUGAAUUGAGUUUUAUUGACAUAUUUGUAUCUUUCUAGCUUCUAGUCCCAAAUCGGACAUAAAAGGUCUGUGGUACCUGUGAAAGUUAGGAUCUUCUUUUGUUGCACUUCUAUAUUUUAUUCGAUAUUAAUGUUAUCCUCUACUUUGAGUUUUUUGAAUUUUUUUUAGGAGAGAUUCGACUUAACUACGUUAAUUUAUUUAGAUUUUUUUUCAUUGAUAUUUAAAAAUUUUAGUCUUUUUUCGACUCAUUUUAAAAUUUUGUCCUUUGUACUCAACUUAUCCUUUUUGGAUAGAUUUGUUAAGCUAAAAGGUAUUCUAUUGAAAAAGUUAAUACUCUUUAUUUCUUUAUUAGUGGGAGGUUUUUGAUUAAUUAAAAGGGUUUUGCAAUAAUUUUCUCGAUAUAAGAACUUAUGAGUUGGCUUUGAUUUCACCUCAGUAAACCAUUUUCCAAGUUUCUUGAUUAAACUAUGUAAAGAAAGAUGAGAACAGAGACCUGCUACAUGCAUGGUCCGUCAAACUCGAGCCCAAUUGUGAGAUCAAGCAUAGCAUAAUAGUUUUUGUAAAAUAUCCCACAAUUGUCGGUCUCCAUUGGUGUACCAUUAGUGGAAUAACCUAAGAAUAUGAAGAUGGGUUUCUAGGAAACAUGCUUGAGGAGGGAUGAGGGCAGUGAUAGCCUUUCUAUAUAUGAACUGUUUACACCAGAAGGUCGUAACAAAGUUGU
This 2713-nucleotide long non-coding RNA is filed under the name Cucumis sativus (cucumber). RNAcentral describes it as "long non-coding RNA (CSAT_LNC000794)". Lineage: Eukaryota; Viridiplantae; Streptophyta; Magnoliopsida; Cucurbitales; Cucurbitaceae. The record is from RNAcentral.